Pygocentrus nattereri (red-bellied piranha) is the source of this 499-nucleotide long non-coding RNA. NCBI's taxonomy places the organism in Eukaryota, Metazoa, Chordata, Actinopteri, Characiformes, Serrasalmidae. The record is from Ensembl.
GCAAUGUAGUUUAACAUGUCCAGGCCUCUAGAGGGAGCUAGUUCAUCUUAGUGUCUCUAGUAUCCCAUAUAAAGGUGGCAAAGGGCAUGUUGCCUCCAACAAACAAACCUCUGUUGUGGAGAAGCUCUUGCUGCUCAACUUUCCAAGUCCUCUGUUUGAGGAACUUCCAUUCCCUUUUCAUUCACAAACAGGUUUUGGGCAGCAGGACACUAGCAUUGCUGCUACUGAGUGCUGGUUGGUUGGUGAGUGGAGCAGCUCAUUGGUUGUUUGGGGCCACAGAUGUCCUGAACCUACAUGAGUGUUUCUCCCUCUAGUGUUUAUGGAACCUGGAAGAUAUUAGAGUGGAACACACCCUGGAGGUAGUGCUACCUCUUCAUCCUCAGAUGUUGAACUGAUAGCAGAUUUGAUGGUACAGUGAGUCACUAUCAAAGUGGUAUACAAGACAUGAUGGACCAGGGCUAACUGGUUAGCUUGCUAACUUCAGUAGAUAUCUCUACAA